GCCACCGUUCAAAGGACGGGACACAACUUUGCGAAGGUUGAUGGAUGAGGUUCGAUUCCUCUCGGUGGCA
This 70-nucleotide transfer RNA is filed under the name Deltaproteobacteria bacterium. RNAcentral's name for it is "tRNA-Arg". It matches the Rfam family "tRNA". From Rfam's summary of the family: Transfer RNA (tRNA) molecules are approximately 80 nucleotides in length. Their secondary structure includes four short double-helical elements and three loops (D, anti-codon, and T loops). Further hydrogen bonds mediate the characteristic L-shaped molecular structure. tRNAs have two regions of fundamental functional importance: the anti-codon, which is responsible for specific mRNA codon recognition, and the 3' end, to which the tRNAs corresponding amino acid is attached (by aminoacyl-tRNA synthetases). tRNAs cope with the degeneracy of the genetic code in two manners: having more than one tRNA (with a specific anti-codon) for a particular amino acid; and 'wobble' base-pairing, i.e. permitting non-standard base-pairing at the 3rd anti-codon position. Lineage: Bacteria; Pseudomonadati; Myxococcota; Myxococcia. The record is from RNAcentral.